Molecule: non-coding RNA, 558 nt
Organism: Arachis ipaensis
Lineage: Eukaryota; Viridiplantae; Streptophyta; Magnoliopsida; Fabales; Fabaceae
Source: RefSeq, a predicted model, not a curated record
AUCAAUAACCAACAGUUAAGUUAUGAAAUUAUCACAUCAUGCUACUACGUGUGUACAUUCAGAAUAGCUCUCUGAAGUGCAUCAACCACUUUUUGGGCAGUUGGAGUUUCCAGUGUUGUCUCGACCUUAUGAUAACAACCUCAUUCACCCCCUUCAUAUCCAAGCGCCACAAGUGGUUAUAAAUACAUCACCAAGACCAGGAUCAAGCUAAGGGUAUUGAAAAUCUGGUCAUUGUCUCCUGACGAGCAGAAAUACGUAAGACAAACUUUGGAGUUUGUGGCAAUGGAUCAGCUGGUGAGCUAGCUAACAUAAUGUAGCUUUUUAGUUUUAUUUCUUUAUGUGUUGGUUUUAUUAGCAGACCAGGGCUAUGUAAAAAAUCCGCUGACUUAAUGAAUUACCACGUGAAUUGCACGUUCAUAUGCAUCAUAUACCGCCAUGAUUUGCAUACAGGGAGAUCGCAUCCAAUGUUCCAUUAGGAAUCCACAGCGAAGGCUGUUUGAGGAUGAGUUGGUGGAGGAAAAAAUAUAUACCAUCUGCAACUUUUCAGUUGCCAUUAAU